This 238-nucleotide long non-coding RNA is filed under the name Malus domestica (apple). RNAcentral describes it as "long non-coding RNA (MDOM_LNC018396)". The record is from RNAcentral. Lineage: Eukaryota; Viridiplantae; Streptophyta; Magnoliopsida; Rosales; Rosaceae.
CUAGGUUCACUAGGUUCGGGAUGCCUCCUCUUUCUUCUCAAAUCACGUUCAAAAUCGUCGUUGAAAUCAAAGAUGUGUGCAUGCACAGUUUGAGAACUCCGCGUCAUGCACUAGUACCUAAACCAAGAAAACAAAACAAAAUCAGAAAACUAAGUAAAUUAUACUAAAACACACGGCAAAAACACAAGGGAUUAGCAAUUUUGCUAAUCCCCGGCAACGGCGCCAAAAUUUGAUGUGA